Long non-coding RNA from Sander lucioperca (pikeperch), 113 nucleotides. RefSeq lists it as uncharacterized. NCBI's taxonomy places the organism in Eukaryota, Metazoa, Chordata, Actinopteri, Perciformes, Percidae. The transcript has 4 exons. The record is from RefSeq and is a predicted model, not a curated record.
GAGCAUGUACGAUAAUAAAGGUAAGCUGGUUAUCUCUAAUAUCUCAGUGGGAGAUGCAGGGGAGUACUGGUGUGCAGUUUAUGAUGGUGAUUAUGGUUAUUCUCAGUGUGUGU